UUUUUUUCCAGCCCAAACCAAGCUAUAAGUAGUCUGCUUUAAUCGCAUGAUUACACAGUAUUUCUGGACAUCUGUGUGGCUGAAUCUUUUACAAUUUGUUCAAUUAAUAAUGGAGAACCCAAAGUAGAAAGAUGCAGGUGAAGCUUUACUAUGGAACAGAGCGGUCAAGCGAACAUGGAGCCCGACCACAUGUCAACCAGCAGGUUUCGGUGAGAAAAUUGUGGUAAUAAGUCAGCUCUUACCGUAGACAUGAGCGGAGCUUGCGUCCUGCUGCAGCUGUGUGGCUUCCCUCAGAGAAACUGGCUGUCACCACACCGAUGGCCACACCCCUCCGACUUUCAGGAAAGGUCAUUCAAAAUGACUGGUUCGAGACGCUGGAACUUGGGGCUGCCUCUGCAAGCAGCAGUGUGUCUGCAAGCAACUGCUGCAUCUGCACCAAUCCCGC
Long non-coding RNA from Nerophis ophidion (straightnose pipefish), 445 nucleotides. RefSeq lists it as uncharacterized. Lineage: Eukaryota; Metazoa; Chordata; Actinopteri; Syngnathiformes; Syngnathidae. The transcript is spliced from 3 exons. The record is from RefSeq and is a predicted model, not a curated record.